GGGUUGUGAGGUUAAGCGACUAAGCGUACACGGUGGAUGCCCUGGCAGUCAGAGGCGAUGAAGGACGUGCUAAUCUGCGAAAAGCGUCGGUAAGGUGAUAUGAACCGUUAUAGCCGGCGAUGUCCGAAUGGGGAAACCCAGUGCAAUUCGUUGCACUAUCGUUAACUGAAUACAUAGGUUAACGAGGCGAACCGGGGGAACUGAAACAUCUAAGUACCCCGAGGAAAAGAAAUCAACCGAGAUUCCCCCAGUAGCGGCGAGCGAACGGGGAGCAGCCCAGAGUCUGAAUCAGCUUGUGUGUUAGUGGAACGGUCUGGAAAGUCCGACGGUACAGGGUGAUAGUCCCGUACACCAAAAUGCACAGGUUGUGAACUCGAAGAGUAGGGCGGGACACGUGGUAUCCUGUCUGAAUAUGGGGGGACCAUCCUCCAAGGCUAAAUACUCCUGACUGACCGAUAGUGAACCAGUACCGUGAGGGAAAGGCGAAAAGAACCCCGGCGAGGGGAGUGAAAAAGAACCUGAAACCGUGUACGUACAAGCAGUGGGAGCACCUUCGGGUGUGACUGCGUACCUUUUGUAUAAUGGGUCAGCGACUUAUAUUCUGUAGCAAGGUUAACCGUAUAGGGGAGCCGCAGGGAAACCGAGUCUUAACUGGGCGUUAAGUUGCAGGGUAUAGACCCGAAACCCGGUGAUCUAGCCAUGGGCAGGUUGAAGGUUGGGUAACACUAACUGGAGGACCGAACCGACUAAUGUUGAAAAAUUAGCGGAUGACUUGUGGCUGGGGGUGAAAGGCCAAUCAAACCGGGAGAUAGCUGGUUCUCCCCGAAAGCUAUUUAGGUAGCGCCUCGUGAACUCAUCUUCGGGGGUAGAGCACUGUUUCGGCUAGGGGGUCAUCCCGACUUACCAACCCGAUGCAAACUACGAAUACCGAAGAAUGUUAUCACGGGAGACACACGGCGGGUGCUAACGUCCGUCGUGAAGAGGGAAACAACCCAGACCGCCAGCUAAGGUCCCAAAGUCAUGGUUAAGUGGGAAACGAUGUGGGAAGGCACAGACAGCCAGGAUGUUGGCUUAGAAGCAGCCAUCAUUUAAAGAAAGCGUAAUAGCUCACUGGUCGAGUCGGCCUGCGCGGAAGAUGUAACGGGGCUAAACCAUGCACCGAAGCUGCGGCAGCGACACUAUGUGUUGUUGGGUAGGGGAGCGUUCUGUAAGCCUGCGAAGGUGUGCUGUGAGGCAUGCUGGAGGUAUCAGAAGUGCGAAUGCUGACAUAAGUAACGAUAAAGCGGGUGAAAAGCCCGCUCGCCGGAAGACCAAGGGUUCCUGUCCAACGUUAAUCGGGGCAGGGUGAGUCGACCCCUAAGGCGAGGCCGAAAGGCGUAGUCGAUGGGAAACAGGUUAAUAUUCCUGUACUUGGUGUUACUGCGAAGGGGGGACGGAGAAGGCUAUGUUAGCCGGGCGACGGUUGUCCCGGUUUAAGCAUGUAGGCUGGUUAUCCAGGCAAAUCCGGAUAAUCAAGGCUGAGGUGUGAUGACGAGGCACUACGGUGCUGAAGUAACAAAUGCCCUGCUUCCAGGAAAAGCCUCUAAGCAUCAGGUAACAUCAAAUCGUACCCCAAACCGACACAGGUGGUCAGGUAGAGAAUACCAAGGCGCUUGAGAGAACUCGGGUGAAGGAACUAGGCAAAAUGGUGCCGUAACUUCGGGAGAAGGCACGCUGGUGUGUAGGUGAAGUCCCUGCGGAUGGAGCUGAGACCAGUCGAAGAUACCAGCUGGCUGCAACUGUUUAUUAAAAACACAGCACUGUGCAAACACGAAAGUGGACGUAUACGGUGUGACGCCUGCCCGGUGCCGGAAGGUUAAUUGAUGGGGUUAUCCGUAAGGAGAAGCUCUUGAUCGAAGCCCCGGUAAACGGCGGCCGUAACUAUAACGGUCCUAAGGUAGCGAAAUUCCUUGUCGGGUAAGUUCCGACCUGCACGAAUGGCGUAAUGAUGGCCAGGCUGUCUCCACCCGAGACUCAGUGAAAUUGAACUCGCUGUGAAGAUGCAGUGUACCCGCGGCAAGACGGAAAGACCCCGUGAACCUUUACUAUAGCUUGACACUGAACAUUGAGCCUUGAUGUGUAGGAUAGGUGGGAGGCUUUGAAGCGUGGACGCCAGUCUGCGUGGAGCCAACCUUGAAAUACCACCCUUUAAUGUUUGAUGUUCUAACGUUGGCCCCUGACCGGGGUUGCGGACAGUGUCUGGUGGGUAGUUUGACUGGGGCGGUCUCCUCCCAAAGCGUAACGGAGGAGCACGAAGGUUAGCUAAUCCUGGUCGGACAUCAGGAGGUUAGUGCAAUGGCAUAAGCUAGCUUGACUGCGAGCGUGACGGCGCGAGCAGGUGCGAAAGCAGGUCAUAGUGAUCCGGUGGUUCUGAAUGGAAGGGCCAUCGCUCAACGGAUAAAAGGUACUCCGGGGAUAACAGGCUGAUACCGCCCAAGAGUUCAUAUCGACGGCGGUGUUUGGCACCUCGAUGUCGGCUCAUCACAUCCUGGGGCUGAAGUAGGUCCCAAGGGUAUGGCUGUUCGCCAUUUAAAGUGGUACGCGAGCUGGGUUUAGAACGUCGUGAGACAGUUCGGUCCCUAUCUGCCGUGGGCGCUGGAGAAUUGAGGGGGGCUGCUCCUAGUACGAGAGGACCGGAGUGGACGCAUCACUGGUGUUCGGGUUGUCAUGCCAAUGGCACUGCCCGGUAGCUAAAUGCGGAAGAGAUAAGUGCUGAAAGCAUCUAAGCACGAAACUUGCCCCGAGAUGAGUUCUCCCUGAGACUUUAAGUCUCCUGAAGGAACGUUAAAGACGAUGACGUUGAUAGGCCGGGUGUGUAAGCGCAGCGAUGCGUUGAGCUAACCGGUACUAAUGAACCGUGAGGCUUAACCUUACAACGCCGAAG
This 2923-nucleotide ribosomal RNA is filed under the name Klebsiella pneumoniae. RNAcentral describes it as "bacterial LSU rRNA". It matches the Rfam family "Bacterial large subunit ribosomal RNA". The record is from RNAcentral. Lineage: Bacteria; Pseudomonadati; Pseudomonadota; Gammaproteobacteria; Enterobacterales; Enterobacteriaceae. RNAcentral also lists the same sequence under 1 other name.